GUGUGUCUGAAAAACAAUGAAUAUACCUUAAUUUAAAAAAUAUUGCUGAAAAAUGCUAUCAUCUGACAAUGCAGGGUUGUCACAAACCCUCAAUUAGUUUUAAAAAAAGCACUAUCUGCCUAGACUUUCUAUACUCUAUUGCCCUUCCUCCAGAUACUGCAUUUUUAAAUAAAGGUUGAAGCAACCCGUGUUGACCGUAAGCACCAUUUUCCAACAGCAUUUGCUCACUUUACUAAAUAAUUUUUCUUCCAGGCAUAUUAAAUUGGCAUAAAGCAUUGUGUAAGUUUGAUUUAAGAUCCCCUUAAUGGAUCACAGCCUUGUUAUGUUAAAGAGGCUUGUGUAAACAAUGGAAUGAUCUUGGUUCGUUUCCAAGACAAACCAUUCAGCAUCACAGUAAUAAAGUCUAUGCCUCAACUACUAAUGCUGAAGAAGCUGAAGAUGACUGGUUCUAUGAAGACCUUAUAAGACCUUCUAGAACUAACACCAAAUAUGUCCUUUUCAUCUUAGGGGAUUGGAAUGUAAAAGUAGGAAGUUGAGAUACCUAAAGUAACAGGCAGUUUUGGCUUUGAAGUACAAAAUGAACAGGGCAAAGGCUAACAGUUUUGUCAAGAGAACACACUGGUCAUAGAAAACACCCUUUUCCAACAACACAAACGACAACUAUAUAUGGACAUCACCAGAUGGUCAAUACAGAAAUCGAAUUGAUUUUAUUCUUUGCAGCCGAAUGGAGAAGCUCUGUACUGUCAGCAAAAACAAGAAUGGGAGCUCACUAUGGUUCAGAUCGUGAGCUUCUUAUUGCAAAAUUCAGGCUUAAAUUGAAAUUUUAAUUUCCUAGUGGGAAAACCACUAGGCCAUUUAGAUAUGACCUAAAUCAAAUCCUUUAUGAUUAUACAGUGGAGGUGAUGAAUAGAUUUGAAGGAUUAGAUCUGGUAGACAGAGUGCCUGAAGAAUUAUGGACGGAGGUUUGGAACUUUGUACAGAAGGGAGUAACCAAAACUAUCCCAAAAAAAGAAGUGCAAGAAAGCAAUGGUUGCCUGAGGAUGUUUUACAAUUAGAUGAGAAAAGAGAAGAAAAAGCAAUGGAGAAAGGGAAAUAUACCCAACUGAAUGCAGAGUUCCAGACAAUAGCAAGGAGAGAUAAGAAAGCCUUCUUAAGUGAACAAUACAAAAAAGUAGAGGAAAACAAUAGAAUGGGAAAUACAGCUAUCUCAAGAAAAUUGGGGAUAUCAACAUUUCAUGCAAGGAUGGGCACAAAAAAGGACAGAAAUUAUAAGGACCUAACAGAAACAAAAAGAGGUGGCAAGAAUACAUACAAGAACCACACACAAAAAAGCUUUUAAUGACCCAGAUAACCAUGAUGGUGUGAUCACUUACCUAGAGCCAGACCUCUUGGAGUGUGAUAUCAAGUGGGCCUUAAGCGUUACUACAAACAAAGCUAGUGGAGGUGAUGGGAUUCCAGGUGAGCUAUUUAAAAUCCUAAAGAUGAUGCUAUUAAAGUGCUGCAUUCAGUAUGUCAGCAAAUUUGGAAAACUCAGCAGUGACCACAGGACUGGAAAAGGUCAGUUUUCAUUCCAGUCCCUAAGAAAGGCAAUACCAACAAAUGGUCAAACUACCAUAAAAUUGCACUUUUUCACAUGCUAGCAAGGUAAUGCUCAAAAUUCUUCAGGCUAGGCUUCAGCAGUACAUGAACCCAGAACUUCGAGAAGUACAAGCUGGAUUUAGAAAAAGCAGAGGAACCAGAGAUCAAAUGACCAACAUUCAUUGGAUCAUAGAGAAGGCAAGAGAAUUCCAGCAAAACAUCUAUUUCUGCUUCAUUGACUAUGCUAAAGCCUUAGACUGUGUGUAUCACAAAAAACCUUGGAAAAUUCUUAAAGAGAUGGGAAUACCAGACCACCUUACCUGUAUCCUGAGAUACCUGUAUGCAGGUCAAGAAGCAACAGUUAGAACCGACGUGGAACAACGAACUGUUUCCAAAUUAGGAAAGGAGUAUGUCAAGGCUGUAUAUUGUCACCUUGCUUUAUUUAACUUAUAUGCAGAGUAUAUCAUGUGAAAUGCUGGGCUGGAUGAAUCAUAAGCUAGAAUCAAGACUGCUAGGAGAAAUAUCAACAACCUUAGAUAUGCAGAUGAUACCACUGUAAUUGCAGAAAGGGAAGAGGAACUAAAGAGCUUUCUUGAUGAGGGUGAAAGAGGAAAGAGAAAGAGCUGACUUAAAACUCAACAUUCAAAAAAGUAAGAACAUGGUGUCUAGUCCCAUCACUUCAUGGCAAAGAGAAGGGAAGUGGAAACAGUGACAGAUUUUAUUUUCUUGGGCUCCAAAAUCACUGCUGAUGGUGACUGCAGCCAUGAAGUUAAAAGAUGCUUGCUCCUUGGAAGGAAAGCUAUGACAAACCUAGAUAGUGUAUUAAAAAGCAGAGACAUCACUUGCAAGCAAAGGUCCAUAUAGUCAAAGCUAUGGUUUUUCAAUAGUCAAUAUGGAUGUGAGAAUUGGACCAUAAAGAAGGCUGAGCACCAAAGAAUUGAUGCAUUUGAACUUUGGUGCUUGAAGAAGACUCUCAAACAGGAAGGAAAUCAAACCAGCCAAUCCUUAAGGAAAUCAAUCCUGAAUAUUCAUUGGAAGGGAGGAUGCUGAAGCUCCAAUACUUUGGCCAACUGAUGCGAAGAGCUGACUCAUUGGAAAAGACCCUGAUGCUGGGAGAGAUUGAGGACGGAGGAAAAGGGGGCGACAGUGGAUGCAAUGGUUGGAUAGCAUCACAGACUCAAUGGAAAUGGGUUUGAGCAAACUCUGUAAGACAGUGAAGGACAGAGAAGUCCAGUGGGUGCAGUCCAUGAGAUUGCAAAGAGGCGGACACCACUGAGAACUGAACAAGUUUCAGAUCUAGAACCUAUGUAGUGACUGGGCUCUGUGCUUUCACUGCUGAGGGCCCAGAUUCGAUCCCUGGUUGGAGAACUAAGAUCUUAUAAGCUGCAUGGCAUGGCCAAAAAAGAUGUAGAGCAUAAUGAUUUUACCUAAAUACAUCAUGAAAUGAUUACCACAAUAAGUUUAUUGAACACCUAUCAUCUCAUACAGUACAAAAUUAAACAAAAAAUUUUUUUUUCCUUGGGAUGAGGACUCAGGAUUUACUCUAACAACUUUCAUAUAUAACAUGCAGCAGUGUUGAUUAUAUUUAUCAUGUUGCACAUGUCAUCCCUCGUAUUUAUCUUAUAACUGGAAAUUGUACCUUUUGAUUGCCUUCAUCCAAUUCCCCCUUCCCCUAAUCCCACCACUGCCUCAAAUCUGAUCUCGUUUUUCCUAUGAGUUAGUUGAUUUGUUUUUGAAACAUGUUUAACCUCCAUCACUGUGUUAGUUCCUGGC
This is a long non-coding RNA of Bos taurus (domestic cattle), 3351 nucleotides long. Lineage: Eukaryota; Metazoa; Chordata; Mammalia; Artiodactyla; Bovidae. The record is from Ensembl.